GCCGAAGUGGCGGAAUUGGCAGACGCGCAUGGUUCAGGUCCAUGUACCGGCAACGGUGUGGGGGUUCGAGUCCCUUCUUCGGCACCA
Molecule: transfer RNA, 87 nt
Filed under: Candidatus Koribacter versatilis Ellin345
Lineage: Bacteria; Pseudomonadati; Acidobacteriota; Terriglobia; Terriglobales; Candidatus Korobacteraceae
Also listed under: 7 other names
Description: tRNA-Leu (CAG) (tRNA-Leu-CAG-1-1)
Rfam family: tRNA
About the family: Transfer RNA (tRNA) molecules are approximately 80 nucleotides in length. Their secondary structure includes four short double-helical elements and three loops (D, anti-codon, and T loops).
Source: RNAcentral